RNAcentral lists this ribosomal RNA (160 nucleotides) under uncultured fungus. RNAcentral describes it as "5.8S rRNA". It matches the Rfam family "5.8S ribosomal RNA". From Rfam's summary of the family: 5.8S ribosomal RNA (5.8S rRNA) is a component of the large subunit of the eukaryotic ribosome. It is transcribed by RNA polymerase I as part of the 45S precursor that also contains 18S and 28S rRNA. The record is from RNAcentral. Lineage: Eukaryota; Fungi.
AAAACUUUCAACAACGGAUCUCUUGGUUCUGGCAUCGAUGAAGAACGCAGCGAAAUGCGAUAAGUAGUGUGAAUWGCAGAAUUCAGUGAAUCAUCGAAUCUUUGAACGCACAUUGCGCCCCUUGGUAUCCCGAGGGGCAUGCCUGUUCGAGCGUCAUUUC